UACAGAGGUCUCAAGCGUUGUUCGGAUUCAUUGGGCGUAAAGGGUGUGUAGGCGGCGCUGUAAGUCGGGGGUGAAAUUUCGGAGCUUAACUCCGAAACUGCAUUCGAUACUGCGGUGCUUGAGUACUGGAGAGGAGACUGGAAUUCAUGGUGUAGCAGUGAAAUGCGUAGAGAUCAGGAGGAAGACCAGUGGCGAAGGCGGGUCUCUGGACAGUUCCUGACACUGAGACGCGAAGGCCAGGGGAGCAAACGGG
Molecule: ribosomal RNA, 253 nt
Filed under: uncultured bacterium
Lineage: Bacteria
Description: partial 16S ribosomal RNA
Rfam family: Bacterial small subunit ribosomal RNA
Source: RNAcentral